GGCUUAGCACCGAGGCGAUGUCGUAAACAAUGAGGUUUUACCGGGUUUCGAUUAGUGCUAGUUGAAAACUUUAACCAAUGCCCUGGGAACGUGAAAAACCGUCCACUACGACAAUUUUUAGACCCACUAUGACACACUG
This is a small nuclear RNA of Lucilia sericata (common green bottle fly), 139 nucleotides long. RefSeq annotates it as U4 spliceosomal RNA. NCBI's taxonomy places the organism in Eukaryota, Metazoa, Arthropoda, Insecta, Diptera, Calliphoridae. The record is from RefSeq and is a predicted model, not a curated record. The transcript has a single exon.